GCGGUUGUCUCCAAUGUCAGAUGCUCAGUUUUCUCCAUAUGUUGGUGGAAUGGCGUUUUCUCCUUCUUCAUCUCCAGGCUACAGCCCAUCUUCUCCUGGUUACAGUCCUACUUCUCCUGGUUACAGUCCGACUUCACCUGGAUACAGUCCGACUUCUCCUGGCUAUAGUCCCACUUCUCCCACGUACAGUCCUAGUUCUCCUGGCUAUAGCCCAACUAGCCCUGCUUAUUCUCCAACAAGUCCUUCAUAUUCUCCCACCUCCCCUAGCUACAGCCCAACGUCUCCUAGCUACAGCCCAACGUCUCCAAGCUACAGUCCAACGUCUCCAAGCUACAGCCCAACAUCCCCGAGUUACAGUCCAACUUCACCUGCUUACAGUCCAACUUCUCCUGCAUACAGCCCAACGUCACCUGCAUACAGCCCUACCUCUCCAUCUUACAGUCCAACUUCACCAUCUUACAGUCCGACAUCGCCUUCUUACAGCCCUACUUCACCCUCCUACAGUCCAACAUCUCCUUCUUACAGUCCUACUUCACCUGCAUACAGCCCUACAUCUCCUGGGUACAGCCCUACAUCUCCAAGCUACAGUCCAACGUCUCCUAGUUACGGUCCGACGUCUCCAAGCUACAACCCUCAGUCUGCUAAAUACAGUCCAUCUCUGGCUUACUCCCCUAGCAAUGCAAGACUAUCACCAGCUAGCCCUUACAGUCCUACAUCUCCAAACUACAGGUCAGUAGUAAUCUGCUCUGUAGUGUUUUUUUUUCUAUCUACCACUGUGAAGCUGUCAUAAUCCCUUGUCGUUUCUUUAUUUUGUUAACUAUUCAUAAAUUUUCUUACUCUGCAGCCCUACAUCACCAUCCUACUCACCCACAUCUCCAUCGUAUUCACCUUCAAGUCCAACAUACAGUCCCAGCAGGUUCGGUUUUUACCCACUUGAAUCUGUUGUAUGCAUCGCUGUCAUUUAGACCAACUUCACCAACUACAUUUUCUUUGGCAUUUGGGUUCUGCAAAGUUGUUGUUUCUUAUUGUUGUAUCUGUCUCACUCCAUAGAUUUUCUGUAGUGUGCGUCGAUGACAUUUAGAAUAACUUCACCAACUACAUUUUCUUUUGCAUUUGGAUUCUGCAAAAGUGUAACUGAGUUGUUAUUCUUUUUGUUGAAAUCUGUCUCAGCCCAUACAGCUCAGGAGCAAGCCCUGACUACAGCCCAAGCGCAGGUUACUCACCAACACUUCCUGGUUAUUCACCCUCAUCCACCGGUCAGUAUACACCACAUGAGGGUGAUAAAAAUGACAAGACUGGAAAAGAUGCCAGCAAGGAUGAUAAAAGCAACCCUUGAAAGGAAUUCAAACGUGUAGGUAACGUUUAAAUCUCUUGGAACCAUUGGAUUUAGAACUCAAUAGUAGCUUGCUCACAAACCGAAGCCAUCACAUGUUAUUUCUUGUAACCAGAAGCAGCAGUGGAUGAUGCUGUGAGAUAGAAAGAAGAAACCGUUUCAAAGUCGUCUCCUUUGUGACAGUUUUCUUUCUAAGUAGUUCCUCUAUGUCGUGCUUUGUAUAAAUUGUUCUAAACUUUUUCAUAAAGCUACCCAUCAUGGAUCCAAAAGAGAACAAUAUGAACAUCAUAGUCUUUGGUCUUUUCUGUCUGGUUGUUGAGUUCUUGUCUUGUUGGAUUUCAGAAACUUAAAACAUAUUUAACUGUUUUCAAAUAUUACCAUGACUAUGCAAUUUUUUUAAAACAUUGUUCUGCUUUAUUUUUAUAAUGGAUAUAUGCAUAAUCAAGCAUAAAAAACUAUUAGUAAGAGUUUGCAGAGUAUCUCACAAAAAAUAAUAGUAUUGUUUUGGAGAUCAAUUGGUCUAGUUCCUUUUAGUUUGGAGAUGAUCAUUAAUUGCAUUUGGGACAACAAAUCUCUCUAUAAAAUUUGAUAACUUUUCAAAGUAAAUAUUCAUUAUAUAGCUUAGCCAUAAUAUCAAGAAUAUUUUUAUUUUCAAAACAGAUUAUGAUAGAAGAGAAUCCAGCUUAUCAAUUUCACAAUCUUUCUAUUUUUUUGUGUGGUUCUUCAUGAAUUAUUGGAAGUUUGCCAUUAGAUCAAUAUAUCACAACAAAAUCAUGUCUCAAGUACCAUAUUAGAUGGUUAAGAGAUUGUCAUGAUUUUUCAUGUUCAUGAAUCAAAAGUUUUGUGAGUUAAGAAAAAAAAUGGUUUUUUACUUUUGUUGGUUCUUGAUCUCGACAUAAACAUAAAUAUGUGUAAUAUGGUUUAAGUCUUUAUCCUAAAAACAAAUUUUAUGGAUUAUAGUCGUUACAUUAUACUCAUAUUUUCAGUGACAACAUAAAAAGAACAAAUCCAAAAUAUGGAUUAAAAAAAGGAGAUAGCGCAAAGACAAAAAGAAAAAAUGCACAAAAUUUGAAAUUACUUUCAACUGACCGUCAAAAACGAAUUUCUUCUAUUCUACGACAAGACUUUUCCCAAGGCAUUUAGAAGCUUUGUGAAUGACUGCAUGACCAACAUGGAGCUGCUUUCGUUGACUCAUGUCUUUGUUGAUGCAUAUGAUGACACUUGGGACUUCGUCAUGAUAGCCAUCCACUUGGCUCAUGGAAAGUCACCAUUUGUUCCUUUCCACAUUUCUUAAUUGAUUAGAUUUUGAAUCCGACAAUACUUGUUCUUUAAUGUAAAGAUUUUUUAUAUUCAUGUUUCUUAAUUGAUUAGAUUUUGAAUCGACAAUACUUGUUCUUUAAUGUAAAGAUCAUUGGAGCUCUUUCCAUGUGGCUCUCCCUCAUUUUCUAAUAACGUAAUGUUUAAUUCAAAAUCAAAAUGUGUUGGUUUAUUGUGGACUAUCGUGGCAAAAUAAUAUAAGAUCCAGAUUCAUGCUGGUGUGAUUUUUUUCCGGUACUAUUUUAUUUUAAUUAAGUUUAUUCGAAGAUGAUUUCCUGUACUAAAACUUGAAAGCAGGGAAAACCAAACCGAGCGAGAAGAAUGAGCCAGACAAAAAAAUUAAAAUCCGAGUUGAUUCUCAUUUUCGAUGCGUAGUGCACCAUAAGAAACGUGAGUAUUGCAACAGGCAAUUACUUACUAGAGGUGUGAUAUUAAAAAAAUUACCAGAUUACGGUUUAGAUUAGUUAAUAUUUGGAAUAUAAGUAUAUAUUUACUUCUUUAAUGAAAUAUUUUGGUCAUUUUGAUCUUUAGAAUCUAUAUUUGUGAGAGAAAUUUUUUAGUGUUAUCCUAGGGUAUUUCCCUUUAUAAAAUAGAAAAAUAAAUAUAAAAAAUUUUGAAAAUAAAAUUUUGAAAGUUUUUUUUUUUUUUUUUAAAAAUUUAUAAAGAAUUUUAAAUUUAAAAAUAUAUAAUCCCAAAACAAGUCCUUUUGUUUCUGUUCCAACGUUCAUAAAAUUCUGAAAAGUAAAGUUUUCGAACAUUCUCAUCUAAAACGAACAACGAAUAUAACAAUGUACAGAGAGUUAGAUAUGAGAUGAUAACUCAUACUCUUCCCUCUACAUUCACAUGAAUACAAAUAUUCUCUUGAAAUGCGAAAUGCAAUUCAUUAAAAAGCAGUUGCAGAGCAGCGGGAUUCAGAGCCACACGCGGCCAGUCCCAAAAAUAUAAAUACGGCCAUACUUAGCCAAAGCAAACAGCCAACAAGGCUAAUCUCGAGGCAGACAAAGGUCCAAUACAAAAAGCCACCAGCAGCAACAUGCUCGAUAAUCUCUUCGCAAAACAUAAACUAAACCGUAAAGGUUUCAUUUGAAAAUAAGGUUGUGAGACUUUUAACUCCAAGAUGAACUACGAAAGACUUAAUCCCUUCAACAAGGAUACGUAGACAACCUUCAAAAGGUGCAGCCCCAAUCUUAACAUAGUCCACUACUUGUAGAAAUAUAAAAACGAGAUGACUUUCCGUAAUCUCAAGCCGCUAAUUUUGCUACAACUCCAUUACCCCCUUGACAUUGAGGGGGCAUAUAGAAGGGUCUAAGAGAUCGUAAAUAUUAUUGUCAAUAUUGGAUAUUUAUUAUAUAAGAUAUUCACAUAUAUUUGUAUCAAUAUAGUUUAGGAAACAUCUCUAGUAUAAAUAUACAUGUAACUCUAACCAUGAUCCUUAUGAGAAUCAAUACAAUAUUCUUCUACUCUCAUCAUUAUCAACAUAACCCAGCACCGUGUCUAUGCUCUUCUCUGGAACCGCCACACGGGUGACUCCCGUUUCUACAUCCUCCACCGCAACCGCUUGGUUAUCGUCGGGUCGCUUCCUACCAUGUCUCCCCACGCAAGCUUUGUCCCGGUGGGUUCCAAGACAUACGUGUUCAACGAUCUCGAAGCCCUCAGUGUCGACUGCGCCUCUUACACGCUGAAGCCAAUCUCCGACAUGCCUCAACGCAUGCUUAGAAAAGUACCUAACGUCGUUGACGGGAAGGUGUACCUGAUCGGUGAUUCCUUUUGUCGUUUCGCCCAUAGAGAUUGGUGCUCUUUGGUCUGAUGCUGUGGUGUUGGAGGAUAAGCUUUGGUUUAAAAGCUAUACGAGUCAGCACGCUUUUGUUUACGAACCAGAGGGAAAACAAGUGGGAGUUGAUGAACGAGGUGUUGAACUCUAAGGACCGGUGGGAGGGUGCGUGUGUGAUUGAUGAUGUCCUCUACUAUCACGAUCCUUCUGGGGAGAAGGCGUUUAGCCGUUGGAGUGUUGUCAACGGUUUGGAGGAGUUUUUGGCUGCGGAGGUGACCGAUCAAUCGAUGUGGUCCAGAGUGGUCAAGUGUGGGGAGAAGAAGUUGGCUCUCUUUUUUCCUAAAAAACGUGACGGCAAUGAGGUCAUUUGCUGUGCAGAGAUUGCUUUGGAAUGGCCCCAAGGUGGAGGAGAGAUUUGGGGUAAGGUGUUGUCCUGUGAUGUUGUCCUUGAGGAUGGGAGGUUUGUCAUGGUGAAGUGUGUGUCUGUCACUGUUUGAUGCACAGCAUAAAAACUCUGUUUUACAUCUUUCGUAAUUUAGUUAAAUCCUAAAUACCAUCUAGUGUGAUUGUAAGUUUGCUAACAUCGUUAGUGUAAGACAAAACCUGUGCUAUGUUCUGUUAAAUUUGUUUAUGUUUUUAUCUUGAAUCGUUUCCUUAUACAUGAUGUUUGCAUCGUCACUGGUUUAACUUAGUAUGCGUAAUUGGAAAUGUAGUCAGUUUUAGACAAUUUAUGUUAGGUUCAUGCUCAACUUAUGAUGCAAACGAAAGCUAAGGUUCGCUAAUGUUUGGUUCCCGUGUUCAACUAUGAUGCAAGCCUUUGAUAAAAGAACUAACUUAUUGUUGCUUCUAUAAAAAAUACAUAACAAUGUAAACAUUAUUUUAUUUAUUUUUUUGUAAACUUAUAGAAAUUAUUAAAAGUUUCAAAAGAAAAUUAAAAAACAAUACUGAAUUACAUCACCCCGCCCACAUGAACGUAAUUCAACGUACGGCAUAUAUGAAGAAAACAGCUCCGACCACCCUCGCUUGUUUUAGUUGAGUAUUUUAUUUUAUUGUUUUCUUUGGUAAAAGUUUUUUUUUUCAUAGUGUUACUCAUAUUUUAAAAUAACAAAACCUCUUAAUCUCUUUUUUUUUAAGCAAUCUCUCUUAAUCUCUUUUAAAUUAACGAAAUCUCUUUAUUAAAAUUUCACGCUCAUGUAGUUGUGAAGGCCAACUAUCUAGUUUAUAAUAAUGUUAAACUGAUAGUAACUCAAGUAACUAAUUUUAGAAACCCUUGAAAGAGAGACAUUCAAAGUUUUAGGCAACGUCUAAAAUCUCUUGGAACCAUUGAUUUUAGAAUUCCUACAAGCUCACAAACCGAGCCACAUGUUAUUUGGUGUAACCAGGAUCAGCAGGGGAUGCUAAGAAAAAGCAAGAAACCGUUUCAAAGUCAUUUCCUGGGGAUAACUUUGUCGUGAUUUGUAUAUUGUUCUAAACUUACCCAUAAAAGGAAACAAUAUGAACAAAAUCGUCAUAAACUUUUAGCUUUUUAGUAUGGUUUUUGAGUUGUUGCUUUGUUGGAUUUCAUAAAGUAAAAACAUUUUAAACGUUUUGUUGUGAUACAUGUGUAAGGAUUUUUAUGUUACUGUUUCUUCGUGGAGUAGGUUUCGAAUCGAGAAUACUUGGUUCCGACAAAAGUUUUGAUUGCCAUGUGUUUCAACAACUGGAUUUUCCGAUGUGGAUUUUAGAGAAAGAGUUCCGGAAUAAGGAGUUUUAUUCGAUUCGUUUCUUGUUUAAUUUGCCAUUAAAGGAUAAUUACUGGAACUUAUCGGAUUCUUUAAAUAUAAUUUUCUUCAUGUUCUAGAUUUCCUGGUUAAUACAUAAUACUAUGAAAUUUUGAAAAACUUUUUUUUUUGAAAAGCAAGUUUGAUGAGGAUGAAGGAUUCAAGACAUCGGAGGAGUGGAUGUUAGAUACAGAAGGCGUUAAUCUGCUGGCUGUUAUGUGCCACGAAGAUGUGGAUCCAAAGAGGACAACAAGCAAUCACUUGAUUGAGAUUAUUGAAGUUCUUGGAAUUGAAGCAGUUCGUCGUGCUUUGUUGGAUGAGCUUCGAGUUGUGAUAUCCUUUGAUGGCUCUUAUGUGAAUUACCGCCAUCUUGCCAUAUUGUGUGAUACAAUGACCUAUCGAGGUCAUCUGAUGGCGAUCACUCGACAUGGUAUCAACAGAAAUGAUACUGGGCCUCUGAUGAGGUGCUCAUUUGAAGAAACGGUCGAUAUUCUGCUGGAUGCUGCAGCUUAUGCUGAGACAGACUGCUUGCGUGGUGUUACGGAAAAUAUUAUGCUCGGCCAGCUUGCACCUAUUGGAACAGGAGACUGCGAACUCUAUCUGAAUGAUGAGAUGCUGAAGAAUGCAAUUGAACUUCAGCUCCCUAGCUAUAUGGAUGGACUGGAGUUUGGAAUGACUCCUGCUCGCUCGCCAAUGUCAGGAACUCCUUAUCAUGAAAGCAUGAUGUCCCCAAACUACCUCCUGAGUCCAAAUAUGCGGUUGUCUCCAAUGUCAGAUGCUCAGUUUUCUCCAUAUGUUGGUGGAAUGGCGUUUUCUCCUUCUUCAUCUCCAGGCUACAGCCCAUCUUCUCCUGGUUACAGUCCUACUUCUCCUGGUUACAGUCCGACUUCACCUGGAUACAGUCCGACUUCUCCUGGCUAUAGUCCCACUUCUCCCACGUACAGUCCUAGUUCUCCUGGCUAUAGCCCAACUAGCCCUGCUUAUUCUCCAACAAGUCCUUCAUAUUCUCCCACCUCCCCUAGCUACAGCCCAACGUCUCCUAGCUAUAGCCCAACGUCUCCAAGCUACAGUCCAACGUCUCCAAGCUACAGCCCAACAUCCCCGAGUUACAGUCCAACUUCACCUGCUUACAGUCCAACUUCUCCUGCAUACAGCCCAACGUCACCUGCAUACAGCCCUACCUCUCCAUCUUACAGUCCAACUUCACCAUCUUACAGUCCGACAUCGCCUUCUUACAGCCCUACUUCACCCUCCUACAGUCCAACAUCUCCUUCUUACAGUCCUACUUCACCUGCAUACAGCCCUACAUCUCCUGGGUACAGCCCUACAUCUCCAAGCUACAGUCCAACGUCUCCUAGUUACGGUCCGACGUCUCCAAGCUACAACCCUCAGUCUGCUAAAUACAGUCCAUCUCUGGCUUACUCCCCUAGCAAUGCAAGAC
RNAcentral lists this long non-coding RNA (7622 nucleotides) under Brassica napus (rape). RNAcentral's name for it is "long non-coding RNA (BNAP_LNC007004)". The record is from RNAcentral. Lineage: Eukaryota; Viridiplantae; Streptophyta; Magnoliopsida; Brassicales; Brassicaceae.